RNAcentral lists this ribosomal RNA (254 nucleotides) under uncultured bacterium. RNAcentral describes it as "partial 16S ribosomal RNA". It matches the Rfam family "Bacterial small subunit ribosomal RNA", at positions 99 to 354 of the family's 1533-position model. The record is from RNAcentral.
CGAACGGGUGAGUAAUACAUCGGAACGUGUCCGCUCGUGGGGGACAACCAGCCGAAAGGUUGGCUAAUACCGCAUGAGUUCUACGGAAGAAAGAGGGGGACCCGCAAGGGCCUCUCGCGAGCGGAGCGGCCGAUGACUGAUUAGCCGGUUGGUGAGGUAACGGCUCACCAGAGCAACGAUCAGUAGCUGGUCUGAGAGGACGACCAGCCACACUGGGACUGAGACACGGCCCAGACUCCUACGGGAGGCAGCAG